UACGUAGGGGGCAAGCGUUGUCCGGAAUCAUUGGGCGUAAAGCGCACGUAGGCGGAUUGCUAAGUCAGGGGUGAAAUCCUGGAGCUCAACUCCAGAACUGCCUUUGAUACUGGCGAUCUUGAGUCCGGGAGAGGUGAGUGGAACUGCGAGUGUAGAGGUGAAAUUCGUAGAUAUUCGCAAGAACACCAGUGGCGAAGGCGGCUCACUGGCCCGGUACUGACGCUGAGGUGCGAAAGCGUGGGGAGCAAACAGG
Molecule: ribosomal RNA, 253 nt
Filed under: uncultured bacterium
Lineage: Bacteria
Description: partial 16S ribosomal RNA
Rfam family: Bacterial small subunit ribosomal RNA
Source: RNAcentral